Molecule: ribosomal RNA, 253 nt
Filed under: uncultured bacterium
Lineage: Bacteria
Description: partial 16S ribosomal RNA
Rfam family: Bacterial small subunit ribosomal RNA
Source: RNAcentral
UACAGAGGUCUCAAGCGUUGUUCGGAUUCAUUGGGCGUAAAGGGUGCGUAGGCGGCGCGGUAAGUCGGGUGUGAAAUCUCGGAGCUUAACUCCGAAACUGCAUUCGAUACUGCCGUGCUUGAGGACUGGAGAGGAGACUGGAAUUUACGGUGUAGCGGUGAAAUGCGUAGAUAUCGUAAGGAAGACCAGUGGCGAAGGCGGGUCUCUGGGCCGAUACUGACACUGAGGAGCGAAAGCGUGGGGAGCGAACAGG